AACGGUUUUCACAGUUCUGGAAUAAUCCAAUCUUUCUGCUCAAUCAAUUCGUUUCAAAAAGUUUUGGGUUUCUUUUUAUCUAAACCAUUAUCAAAGUUACAGACUUGACCGCCAUAGUUUUGUGAGGUGAGCUAGUAAUUAUAGUAAUGGCGGGCAGAGAAGUUCGUGAAUACACCAAUCUCAGUGACCCAAAAGAUAAGAAAUUGGGGAAAGGAAAGGAUAAAAUUGAUGAUGAAGAUAUCACAUUCCAGCGAAUGGUUGCCAAGGGAUCUUGGCUUCUUCUACCGGUAUGUUGAUGCAAGCAGAUGCAAGAGGUUGCUGGAGAAAGAGGAGGCUACCUCCAUGGACGAGGCGCCUUGGACAGCGAUGACCUACUCUAUCUAAAGGAGCAGAUGGAAGCUGAGGAGGACGCUGAGCGUCUCCUUCGCCGUACUGAGAAACGGGCAUUUGCUGCCUUUAAGAUAUCCUUUCACAUUGUUUAAACAAAUUAUGCUUUCAACAGUGAAAGUUAUUUGCUCUCAACUGCACAAGUUACUCAUAAAUUGCUGGGAAUCACUUUCUUUCUUGGAUAAGUAUGAAACUUUUUAAAAGCUUCUGUUUUGAAUUUUGAAAUAUAAUUUUGAUCAAUUUCAUAUGAUACCUUACUAGUGCUUUCUUCUUUUUGAAAAUUUGAUUAUCAUAUUUCUCUGUUGAUUUGUUUUGUCAUGGAACUUGAAUGUAGUAAAAGCUGCUAUUGAUAAGCAUGGACAUUUUUCCUUUUUUUUUUUUUCACGCACUCGUGGAAAAGAGUUAAUCACAUAUCUAGCAAAUAAUUAUGAAAUAGUACAUAGUAAUUUAGAACUUUAAUUCUCCUUAUAAACAAGCACUAGUUGAAAAUAUUAGAAAAUACGGAUUCCUCGUUUUCAUUUGUUUUACCUCAUACUUCUUUCCUGUUUUCCACAUCCGACAUCUCAUCUUAUGCCUUGACAUGAGAAUCCGACAUCUCAUCUUCUGCCAUUUCUUAUUUAGAAAUUUGCUUCUCAUUAUCCCUGCACUAAAUAUUCGUAGAUAUCAACAUUGAUUCAAAUUGCUUGUAGAAUAUGCAUUUCUUUUUGUUAUUCCUGUUCCCUAUAUAUUUUAUGUUGUUGGAUGUUUCAGAAAGUUGGUUAGAUAUUUUUCUCUGGUUAGUGCUUGUUUUCUUUGACAUCAAUUUCCUGCAUAAAUAAGCUAGAUGAAACUAGUUUGUGAUUAUUAUAUAUUCUCAUGACAAUUUUUGUGGUACAAACAAUGUCACAUUUUUUUGCCCUCACAAUUCCUUAACCAAUUGGCACAAAGCUGCAAGUUUAGUGGAUUCUUCGCCUGCAUCUGUUCCCUUGCCAUUGCGUGUUGAGCCCAAGCCAAAGAGUGGAAUCAGACAGCAAGAUUUACUAAGGAAGGUAGUGGAAAUUAAACCGAAGCGUCAUAGAGUUUCGAGCCCAACAGAUGGGAAUCAGUCUACCCUGAGUUCAGCGAAUCUCAAGUUAGAAUCUAAAAAGGAGAAUGUAAAAGAGUACCCAUUGUCAAAAUCAGACAAAGCAGAAGACGAGAGGCGAGAAAAUAAUCCUGUUAAAGGCUUGCUAGGCUUAGCUUAUGCAAGUUCUGACGAUGAAGAUUGACUAACAAACAGGCAAGAGUUAACAUAUAUGCAUUUGUCUCAUAGUUUGGUUUUUGUUUGCUUUGUUUCUUAAGACCCUCAUUGUUAACCUAAUCUAGUUCUGAAUGAAUACAUUAUAAGCAGAAACAGAAACAGAAGUGUACAACUUGAGUUGGAGAAAGCUAUACUUUCUGUAUUCUGAAGUGGUUGAGUUAUUAGUAUCUUCUUUAUAUUCCUUGUCUCUUCAAUCCUAACUCAUCAUUCGGACUUGUGGUGCAUUGAAAGCGCCAGUUGAUCUUGCUAAUAACCUCACGAUUUUCGCAACUGCAAUGCAGAAAAUCUUUCGCCGGUCAUAUUGAGGUUCUGCAACACUUGUAUCCCUGUUUGGAUGAAGAAAUGUCCAUUUUUGUAAACGUUCCCAACUGAGUAAAACCACCCCUAGUUUUUACUACCGAUGAUAAGGCUUCUUCUUGUGACCUAUCAAAAUAAAUUAAACCAUGUUGCUCUAUGCUUGACAUGAAUCUUACUGUGUUUUAUAUUGUGAGAGCAAUCAAAAGACAUUGUGAUAUGUUA
This is an RNA transcript of Humulus lupulus (European hop), 2185 nucleotides long. RefSeq lists it as uncharacterized. NCBI's taxonomy places the organism in Eukaryota, Viridiplantae, Streptophyta, Magnoliopsida, Rosales, Cannabaceae. The record is from RefSeq and is a predicted model, not a curated record. The transcript has 5 exons.